Molecule: ribosomal RNA, 1562 nt
Filed under: Vibrio campbellii
Lineage: Bacteria; Pseudomonadati; Pseudomonadota; Gammaproteobacteria; Vibrionales; Vibrionaceae
Description: bacterial SSU rRNA
Rfam family: Bacterial small subunit ribosomal RNA
Source: RNAcentral
AAAUUGAAGAGUUUGAUCAUGGCUCAGAUUGAACGCUGGCGGCAGGCCUAACACAUGCAAGUCGAGCGGAAACGAGUUAUCUGAACCUUCGGGGAACGAUAACGGCGUCGAGCGGCGGACGGGUGAGUAAUGCCUAGGAAAUUGCCCUGAUGUGGGGGAUAACCAUUGGAAACGAUGGCUAAUACCGCAUAACGCCUACGGGCCAAAGAGGGGGACCUUCGGGCCUCUCGCGUCAGGAUAUGCCUAGGUGGGAUUAGCUAGUUGGUGAGGUAAGGGCUCACCAAGGCGACGAUCCCUAGCUGGUCUGAGAGGAUGAUCAGCCACACUGGAACUGAGACACGGUCCAGACUCCUACGGGAGGCAGCAGUGGGGAAUAUUGCACAAUGGGCGCAAGCCUGAUGCAGCCAUGCCGCGUGUGUGAAGAAGGCCUUCGGGUUGUAAAGCACUUUCAGUCGUGAGGAAGGUAGUGUAGUUAAUAGCUGCAUUAUUUGACGUUAGCGACAGAAGAAGCACCGGCUAACUCCGUGCCAGCAGCCGCGGUAAUACGGAGGGUGCGAGCGUUAAUCGGAAUUACUGGGCGUAAAGCGCAUGCAGGUGGUUUGUUAAGUCAGAUGUGAAAGCCCGGGGCUCAACCUCGGAAUUGCAUUUGAAACUGGCAGACUAGAGUACUGUAGAGGGGGGUAGAAUUUCAGGUGUAGCGGUGAAAUGCGUAGAGAUCUGAAGGAAUACCGGUGGCGAAGGCGGCCCCCUGGACAGAUACUGACACUCAGAUGCGAAAGCGUGGGGAGCAAACAGGAUUAGAUACCCUGGUAGUCCACGCCGUAAACGAUGUCUACUUGGAGGUUGUGGCCUUGAGCCGUGGCUUUCGGAGCUAACGCGUUAAGUAGACCGCCUGGGGAGUACGGUCGCAAGAUUAAAACUCAAAUGAAUUGACGGGGGCCCGCACAAGCGGUGGAGCAUGUGGUUUAAUUCGAUGCAACGCGAAGAACCUUACCUACUCUUGACAUCCAGAGAACUUUCCAGAGAUGGAUUGGUGCCUUCGGGAACUCUGAGACAGGUGCUGCAUGGCUGUCGUCAGCUCGUGUUGUGAAAUGUUGGGUUAAGUCCCGCAACGAGCGCAACCCUUAUCCUUGUUUGCCAGCGAGUAAUGUCGGGAACUCCAGGGAGACUGCCGGUGAUAAACCGGAGGAAGGUGGGGACGACGUCAAGUCAUCAUGGCCCUUACGAGUAGGGCUACACACGUGCUACAAUGGCGCAUACAGAGGGCAGCCAACUUGCGAAAGUGAGCGAAUCCCAAAAAGUGCGUCGUAGUCCGGAUCGGAGUCUGCAACUCGACUCCGUGAAGUCGGAAUCGCUAGUAAUCGUGGAUCAGAAUGCCACGGUGAAUACGUUCCCGGGCCUUGUACACACCGCCCGUCACACCAUGGGAGUGGGCUGCAAAAGAAGUAGGUAGUUUAACCUUCGGGAGGACGCUUACCACUUUGUGGUUCAUGACUGGGGUGAAGUCGUAACAAGGUAGCGCUAGGGGAACCUGGCGCUGGAUCACCUCCUUAUACGAUGAU